CCGUAAUUAGCCGGGUGCUUCUUCUCCGGUUACCGUCAUUAUCUUCACCGGUGAAAGAGCUUUACAACCCUACGGCCUUCAUCACUCACGCGNCAUGGCGGGAUCNGGCUUCCCCCCAANUUCCAAUAUUCCCCUCUGCUGCCUCCUCUAGG
This 152-nucleotide ribosomal RNA is filed under the name uncultured bacterium. Its description in RNAcentral is "partial 16S ribosomal RNA". The record is from RNAcentral.